GGGUCUGGCUAGUCCACACAACGUUCUGGGAUAGGAGAAAAACGUGCUCUGGUUUAUUGGCAUUUCCUUAAUCCAUUUACAAUCAUCAUGGGUGGGGCGAAACUGUACAAUAGUUGUGAGA
This is a long non-coding RNA of Etheostoma spectabile (orangethroat darter), 121 nucleotides long. RefSeq lists it as uncharacterized. The transcript has 4 exons. NCBI's taxonomy places the organism in Eukaryota, Metazoa, Chordata, Actinopteri, Perciformes, Percidae. The record is from RefSeq and is a predicted model, not a curated record.